GACGAACGCUGGCGGCGUGCUUAACACAUGCAAGUCGAACGGUAAGGCCCUUCGGGGUACACGAGUGGCGAACGGGUGAGUAACACGUGGGUGAUCUGCCCUGCACUUCGGGAUAAGCCUGGGAAACUGGGUCUAAUACCGGAUAGGACUCCUGGCUUCAUGGUUGGGGGUGGAAAGCUUUUGCGGUGUGGGAUGGGCCCGCGGCAUAUCAGCUUGUUGGUGGGGUAAUGGCCUACCAAGGCGACGACGGGUAGCCGGCCAGAGAGGGUGACCGGUCACACUGGCACUGAGAUACGGCCCAGACUCCUACGGGAGGCAGCAGUGGGGAAUAUUGCACAAUGGGCGCAAGCCUGAUGCAGCGACGCCGCGUGAGGGAUGACGGCCUUCGGGUUAUAAACCUCUUUCAGCUAUGACGAAGCGCAAGUGACGGUAGUAGCAGAAGAAGGACCGGCCAACUACGUGCCAGCCGCCGCGGUAA
This 478-nucleotide ribosomal RNA is filed under the name uncultured bacterium. Its description in RNAcentral is "partial 16S ribosomal RNA". It matches the Rfam family "Bacterial small subunit ribosomal RNA", at positions 28 to 523 of the family's 1533-position model. The record is from RNAcentral.